RNAcentral lists this ribosomal RNA (429 nucleotides) under Chloroflexota bacterium. RNAcentral describes it as "Chloroflexi bacterium partial 16S ribosomal RNA". It matches the Rfam family "Bacterial small subunit ribosomal RNA", at positions 355 to 776 of the family's 1533-position model. The record is from RNAcentral. Lineage: Bacteria; Bacillati; Chloroflexota.
UGGGGAAUAUUGCACAAUGGGCGCAAGCCUGAUGCAGCCAUGCCGCGUGUAUGAAGAAGGCCUUCGGGUUGUAAAGUACUUUCAGCGGGGAGGAAGGGAGUAAAGUUAAUACCUUUUCUCAUUGACGUUACCCGCAGAAGAAGCACCGGCUAACUCCGUGCCAGCAGCCGCGGUAAUACGGAGGGUGCAAGCGUUAAUCGGAAUUACUGGGCGUAAAGCGCACGCAGGCGGUUUGUUAAGUCAGAUGUGAAAUCCCCGGGCUCAACCUGGGAACUGCAUCUGAUGAUGGCAAGCUUGAGUCUCGUAGAGGGGGGUAGCAUGCCAGGUGUAGCGGUGAAAUGCGUAGAGAUCUGGGGGAAUACCGGUGGCGAAGGCGGACCCCUGGACAAAGACUGACGCUCAGGUGCGAAAGCGUGGGGAGCAAACAGG